UCCGAAUUGGUGUAGUGGCUAACAUUUGACGCUCUCAUUGUAUGAUUAUUAAAUCACUAGGACCGUCAAGCCCGGGGUUCGAUUCCCCGAUUCGGAG
Non-coding RNA from Annulohypoxylon bovei var. microspora, 97 nucleotides. The record is from the annotation of a GenBank genome assembly. Lineage: Eukaryota; Fungi; Ascomycota; Sordariomycetes; Xylariales; Hypoxylaceae.